RNAcentral lists this ribosomal RNA (468 nucleotides) under uncultured bacterium. RNAcentral's name for it is "partial 16S ribosomal RNA". It matches the Rfam family "Bacterial small subunit ribosomal RNA", at positions 28 to 507 of the family's 1533-position model. The record is from RNAcentral.
GACGAACGCUGGCGGCGUGCUUAACACAUGCAAGUCGAACGGAAAGGCCCUGCUUUUGUGGGGUGCUCGAGUGGCGAACGGGUGAGUAACACGUGAGUAACCUGCCCUUGACUUUGGGAUAACUUCAGGAAACUGGGGCUAAUACCGGAUAGGAGCUCCUGCUGCUUGGUGGGGGUUGGAAAGUUUCGGCGGUUGGGGAUGGACUCGCGGCUUAUCAGCUUGUUGGUGGGGUAGUGGCUUACCAAGGCUUUGACGGGUAGCCGGCCUGAGAGGGUGACCGGCCACAUUGGGACUGGGCUACGGCACAGACUCCUACGGGAGGCAGCAGUGGGGAAUAGUGCACAAUGGGCGGAAGCCUGAUGCAGCAACGCCGCGUGCGGGAUGACGGCCUUCGGGUUGUAAACCGCUUUCGCCUGUGACGAAGCGUGAGUGACGGUAAUGGGUAAAGAAGCACCGGCUAACUACGUG